UUUUCAUGAGAAUUGAUUUAAUUGUGGUUUCAGUUAAUCAACUGUUUGAGUAAUUAAAAAGCAGAAAUAUUCAGAAAUAAUCAUUUUGAUUAAUUGAUCAGUUUAUGUGACACUACUUUAUUUAACCACUGCUCAGAGGUAUAUGAUUAGAUUGAUUGAUCACUUAAAUCACUGAACUGUAUUGUGGCAUCAAAAAAAAAAAUGUUACCUUGGAAGUAAAUAAUGGUAACCAUUUUUAUAAAACCAACAGAUUAGAAAAGGUAUGUUAUUUUCAUCCAGAAAUGGGAAAAUAUAUUUUUUCACCUUUAAAAUGAACUCACUGUAACAGAAUUCAAGAUCUGAUUAUUUUUAAAGUACAAUUAAACUUUGGCUUGGACCUAAUUUUAUCAUCAAAUUGUGUUAUGGCUUGUCUCAAUAAAUCAGAAUAUUGUUUUA
Limulus polyphemus (Atlantic horseshoe crab) is the source of this 435-nucleotide long non-coding RNA. RefSeq lists it as uncharacterized. The transcript is spliced from 2 exons. The record is from RefSeq and is a predicted model, not a curated record. Lineage: Eukaryota; Metazoa; Arthropoda; Merostomata; Xiphosura; Limulidae.